Molecule: ribosomal RNA, 130 nt
Organism: Mustela putorius furo (domestic ferret)
Lineage: Eukaryota; Metazoa; Chordata; Mammalia; Carnivora; Mustelidae
Source: Ensembl
GCCAUACCACCCUGAACACACCCGAUCUCGUCUGAUCUCGGAAGUUAAGCAGGGUCGGGCCUGGUUAGUACUUGGAUGGGAGAAAGGAUGAAUACUCAACUUUUGUAUCAACAUGGGUGGGACUGGAAGU